AUUGAACGCUGGCGGCAGGCCUAACACAUGCAAGUCGAGCGGAUGAAGGGAGCUUGCUCCUGGAUUCAGCGGCGGACGGGUGAGUAAUGCCUAGGAAUCUGCCUGGUAGUGGGGGAUAACGUCCGGAAACGGGCGCUAAUACCGCAUACGUCCUGAGGGAGAAAGUGGGGGAUCUUCGGACCUCACGCUAUCAGAUGAGCCUAGGUCGGAUUAGCUAGUUGGUGGGGUAAAGGCCUACCAAGGCGACGAUCCGUAACUGGUCUGAGAGGAUGAUCAGUCACACUGGAACUGAGACACGGUCCAGACUCCUACGGGAGGCAGCAGUGGGGAAUAUUGGACAAUGGGCGAAAGCCUGACCCAGCCAUGCCGCGUGUGUGAAGAAGGUCUUCGGAUUGUAAAGCACUUUAAGUUGGGAGGAAGGGCAGUAAGUUAAUCCCUUGCUGUUUUGACGUUACCAACAGAAUAAGCCCCGGCUAACUUCGUG
RNAcentral lists this ribosomal RNA (484 nucleotides) under uncultured bacterium. RNAcentral describes it as "partial 16S ribosomal RNA". It matches the Rfam family "Bacterial small subunit ribosomal RNA", at positions 30 to 507 of the family's 1533-position model. The record is from RNAcentral.